Molecule: long non-coding RNA, 219 nt
Filed under: Nicotiana benthamiana
Lineage: Eukaryota; Viridiplantae; Streptophyta; Magnoliopsida; Solanales; Solanaceae
Description: long non-coding RNA (NBEN_LNC015014)
Source: RNAcentral
GUAUCAGGUGACUUCUGCUCAUACUCUAUUAACUCAAUUUAUUUGUCUAGUUAAACGAAAUCCCAAUGUCUGCUCAUAAGCUGUUCGACAUAAGUACUACCCUUUUAGGUCUUAACACAACUCAUAUUUGGGAUGCUAAUAGUACAAAUUCCAUUUUUAAGAUUAGGCAUAUCUAAGUGUGGUAAUUUGAACCCAAAUCAAGCUAUUGCUAAAAUUGAU